Molecule: ribosomal RNA, 443 nt
Filed under: uncultured bacterium
Lineage: Bacteria
Description: partial 16S ribosomal RNA
Rfam family: Bacterial small subunit ribosomal RNA
Source: RNAcentral
CCUACGGGCGGCAGCAGUGGGGAAUAUUGGGCAAUGGGCGCAAGCCUGACCCAGCAACGCCGCGUGAAGGAAGAAGGCUUUCGGGUUGUAAACUUCUUUUCUCAGGGACGAAGCAAGUGACGGUACCUGAGGAAUAAGCCACGGCUAACUACGUGCCAGCAGCCGCGGUAAUACGUAGGUGGCAAGCGUUAUCCGGAUUUACUGGGUGUAAAGGGCGUGUAGGCGGGAAAGCAAGUCAGAUGUGAAAACCAUGGGCUCAACCUGUGGCCUGCAUUUGAAACUGUUUUUCUUGAGUGCUGGAGAGGUAAGUGGAAUUCCUAGUGUAGCGGUGAAAUGCGUAGAUAUUAGGAGGAACACCAGUGGCGAAGGCGGCUUACUGGACAGUAACUGACGUUGAGGCUCGAAAGCGUGGGGAGCAAACAGGAUUAGAUACCCUAGUAGUC